This 76-nucleotide transfer RNA is filed under the name Clostridia bacterium. RNAcentral describes it as "tRNA-Ala". It matches the Rfam family "tRNA". Rfam says of the family: Transfer RNA (tRNA) molecules are approximately 80 nucleotides in length. Their secondary structure includes four short double-helical elements and three loops (D, anti-codon, and T loops). Further hydrogen bonds mediate the characteristic L-shaped molecular structure. tRNAs have two regions of fundamental functional importance: the anti-codon, which is responsible for specific mRNA codon recognition, and the 3' end, to which the tRNAs corresponding amino acid is attached (by aminoacyl-tRNA synthetases). tRNAs cope with the degeneracy of the genetic code in two manners: having more than one tRNA (with a specific anti-codon) for a particular amino acid; and 'wobble' base-pairing, i.e. permitting non-standard base-pairing at the 3rd anti-codon position. Lineage: Bacteria; Bacillati; Bacillota; Clostridia. The record is from RNAcentral.
GGGCCCAUAGCUCAGCCGGGAGAGUGCCGCGUUCGCAACGCGGAGGUCGAGGGUUCGAUCCCCUUUGGGUCCACCA